CGUGUAGGCGGCUGGAUAAGUCAGAUGUGAAAGCCCUGGGCUUAACCCAGGAAGUGCAUUUGAAACUGUUCAGCUUGAGUAAGGGAGAGGAAAGUGGAAUCCCUGGUGUAGAGGUGAAAUUCGUAGAUAUCAGGAGGAACACCGGUGGCGAAGGCGACUUUCUGGCCCUAUACUGACGCUGAGACGCGAGAGCGUGGGUAGCAAACA
This 207-nucleotide ribosomal RNA is filed under the name uncultured Smithella sp. Its description in RNAcentral is "partial 16S ribosomal RNA". It matches the Rfam family "Bacterial small subunit ribosomal RNA", at positions 568 to 774 of the family's 1533-position model. Lineage: Bacteria; Pseudomonadati; Thermodesulfobacteriota; Syntrophia; Syntrophales; Smithellaceae. The record is from RNAcentral.